GGAGCGACGGUGAGAUCCGCCGUGGCCUGUAGUUAACGAACGGAUAUCAGCAGUGGCAUGGGAGCACUGCACAGGAGGAUCUCACAACAGGAGAUGCUAUUGCUGUGCCGCGCCAUCAGGCCAGGGUGGGUGCCUCGUUGAAUUGGAUCCAUCACGCCGAUGCUCUCUAGCCACCGUGAUGUGAGGGACGCCCUGGAGGCCUGAGCACGACCACGCACGGAAGUUCAGCAGCGACGAGAGCGUCCGGCCAACGCAAACCCUGCACACCCCAGUUGUGAGAAGAUUCGAUCACUCAUUCGAGCCAUUAUAUCCUGUUCUUUCCAACGACUUCCUCCGUCGCGUACGACGCAGGCCGACCACCCACGGAUUUUGUAUAGGGAAUGUUGUUUUCCCCGGGCAGUUGCCACAGUCCGGCAACAGGCGCGCCACGACGUGUCCCGCGUCCACACCGUACCAACGCCACUCCCCGCUGCUCUGCCGCCCGCCCACGCUUCGCUGCUUUUCUCCACACGCCACGCCCGCCGGCCGUCCUGCCCAUCCUCUGCUCCCUAUCUCUCUUGCUCUCUCUCUCGGCCUCUCUCUGCCCGCGCGCGCUCUCUUUCGGACUCUAGCUCGUGCGCAAUGGCAUCAGCGGGAGGGGGCGGCAUUGACGGCGCAGCGGGGACGACGACCAAGAAGAAGAAGAGAAUCUCCGACUGCCUCGUCGACAGCGACGGCGGGGACGAGGUGGCGGGGGAGGACGCCAUGCCGCCCUCGCCGCCUUCCCCCGGGACGCCGCGGCUGCGCAUCCCGAUGUUCACCUGCGCGCGGCUUCGGUUCGUCAGGCUCGGCAGGAAAGGCGGCGCCGGACGGAAGGAUCAGGUCGCCGCCGAGAAGAGCGAGGCCGCGUCGACCGACUCCUCAGCAGCAGGAUGGAAAGCGGCGAGCAGCGGCGCGUCGUCGACGGAAACGGCCGGCAUGGGGCUGAGCCUGCUGUUCCUCCUCGCCAAGACCUGCGUCGAGCUCAACAAGAUGGCCGAGGUGCGCGCGGAGAUGGAGGGGCUCCUGCGGGAGAUGAGGGACCAGCUGGUGGUCAGGACGACCAAGGUCGCCACGACGACUGAUUCGCCGUGCCAGUGCCAGGCUUCGUCCAGUACGCGCACGGACGGCCAAGACGCCGGCGCCACCUCUUCGUCUUCUCCCGAACCGGCGCGUCGCCGCCAUUUCCGUCGUGAUAGGCGUGCUGGACGGAAACGGAGAGACGGGCCGUUCUACGCCCUGACAGGAAACCCGCUGUUCGACCUCGAGCGAGAGCCGUGUGGCCGCGCUGCCGCCUCCUCGUCUGCCAUGGAGACCGCGAGCGGCGCGAGCGAGACGUCGUCUGAAGUGGAGGACCCAUCGAGCUCCAUGGCCGUGGAUGUCGCUGGGGCGCAGUUGCAGCUCAACUGCCGCACCGAGCAAGGAACACCCGAGUCGUCGUCGGACGGGGAGUCGUUCAUCGAGCUGGACGGGGGAUUCGGAGCCGGAGCCGGUAGAGGCGGGUACAGUGUGCGAGGCGGUGGCGAGAUUCAGAGGACGGACAGGAGGAGGCGGAGGAGGAGCGCGGCGACGAGGGGGUGCCGGCGCUCGAGCUGGAGAGGCGGCUGCAGGAGCUCCUGCACCGGAGGAGCCGGGAGCGGAUCGAGGAGCUGGAGGCGUCGCUGCGGCACGCGGAGCGGAAGGUGAUGGAGAAGGAGAUGGAGGCGCGGCUGUGGAAGGACACCGCCAAGCUCGCGCUGCAGCCGGGCACGCGCGGCGGUACGGGGCAGUGAUCCAUAUCGACCGUACGUAGUACGUACCUCGUGCGGCAGUGAUUAGUGAAUCCGGUGCAUUUCCGAAUCUAGGCGAGAGCCCGAACGUGCUUUGUACAUGCUGCACACGUGCACGGGUAAACGGGAAAAGCUUAGGUCCAGUUAGACUCCUGGCUGGCUGAUGAUGUACAUACUUGGUGCUGGCGGGUAUACUGCAGAAAGGUCUUUUGAAGAACUUUUUGUUUAUUUCAGCUAAGCGCUGAUCAACAAUUACUUAUUUUUUUAGUUUGCUUAUGUGACAUAACGUGUAUCACUGGUGU
Molecule: RNA transcript, 2089 nt
Organism: Aegilops tauschii subsp. strangulata
Lineage: Eukaryota; Viridiplantae; Streptophyta; Magnoliopsida; Poales; Poaceae
Source: RefSeq, a predicted model, not a curated record